AGGAUGAACGCUGGCGGCGUGCUUAACACAUGCAAGUCGAACGGUGAAGCCCAGCUUGCUGGGUGGAUCAGUGGCGAACGGGUGAGUAACACGUGAGCAACCUGCCCCUGACUCUGGGAUAAGCGCUGGAAACGGCGUCUAAUACUGGAUAUGUGAUGUGACCGCAUGGUCUGCAUCUGGAAAGAAUUUCGGUUGGGGAUGGGCUCGCGGCCUAUCAGCUUGUUGGUGAGGUAAUGGCUCACCAAGGCGUCGACGGGUAGCCGGCCUGAGAGGGUGACCGGCCACACUGGGACUGAGACACGGCCCAGACUCCUACGGGAGGCAGCAGUGGGGAAUAUUGCACAAUGGGCGCAAGCCUGAUGCAGCAACGCCGCGUGAGGGAUGACGGCCUUCGGGUUGUAAACCUCUUUUAGCAGGGAAGAAGCGAAAGUGACGGUACCUGCAGAAAAAGCACCGGCUAACUACGUGCCAGCAGCCGCGGUAAUACGUAGGGUGCAAGCGUUAUCCGGAAUUAUUGGGCGUAAAGAGCUCGUAGGCGGUUUGUCGCGUCUGCUGUGAAAUCUGGAGGCUCAACCUCCAGCCUGCAGUGGGUACGGGCAGACUAGAGUGCGGUAGGGGAGAUUGGAAUUCCUGGUGUAGCGGUGGAAUGCGCAGAUAUCAGGAGGAACACCGAUGGCGAAGGCAGAUCUCUGGGCCGUUACUGACGCUGAGGAGCGAAAGGGUGGGGAGCAAACAGGCUUAGAUACCCUGGUAGUCCACCCCGUAAACGUUGGGAACU
Molecule: ribosomal RNA, 778 nt
Filed under: Microbacterium sp.
Lineage: Bacteria; Bacillati; Actinomycetota; Actinomycetes; Micrococcales; Microbacteriaceae
Description: bacterial SSU rRNA
Rfam family: Bacterial small subunit ribosomal RNA
Source: RNAcentral